UACGGAGGGUGCAAGCGUUAUCCGGAUUUAUUGGGUUUAAAGGGUGCGCAGGCGGACUAAUAAGUCAGUGGUGAAAUCUCGGGGCUCAACCCCGAAACUGCCAUUGAUACUGUUAGUCUUGAAUACGGUUGAAGUAGGCGGAAUGUAGCAUGUAGCGGUGAAAUGCAUAGAGAUGCUACAGAACACCGAUCGCGAAGGCAGCUUACUAAGCCGAUAUUGACGCUCAGGCACGAAAGCGUGGGGAGCGAACAGG
RNAcentral lists this ribosomal RNA (253 nucleotides) under uncultured bacterium. Its description in RNAcentral is "partial 16S ribosomal RNA". It matches the Rfam family "Bacterial small subunit ribosomal RNA", at positions 524 to 776 of the family's 1533-position model. The record is from RNAcentral.